GGCAUUAUUAGGAGGUGUGGCCUUGUUGGAGGAGGUGUGUCACUGAGGAAAGGGCUUUGAGGUCUCAUAUAUGCUCAAGCCACGCCCAAUGAGACAGUUCACUUCCUGUUGCCUUCGGAUCAAGAUGUAGAACUCUCAGCUUCUUCUCCAGCACCAUGUCUGCCUGCAUGUCACCAUGCUCCUCAACAUAACGACAAAUGGACUAAACCUCUGAAACUUUGCCAGGUUAGCUCUGCUGCCAAGGCCAGGCGAAUGCUGGCAGCUCCCCAGGGAAGUAUUUUAAUCUCCAGCAUCAAACCAGACCCCUCUUCCAUCCGCCAUCUG
This 324-nucleotide long non-coding RNA is filed under the name Cricetulus griseus (Chinese hamster). RNAcentral describes it as "lncRNA (ENSCGRG00015029015.1)". Lineage: Eukaryota; Metazoa; Chordata; Mammalia; Rodentia; Cricetidae. The record is from RNAcentral.